AAGUCGUAACAAGGUUUCCGUAGGUGAACCUGCGGAAGGAUCAUUACUGAGUGUUGGCCUUCUUAGGCCUAACCUCCCACCCGUGUUUACCAUACCUUUGUUGCUUUGGCGGGCCCACUGGGCUUGCCCCGGUCGCCGGGGGGUAUCUCACCCCCGGGCCCGCGCCCGCCGAAGCGCCUUUGAACCCUAUUAUGAAAAGACUGUCUGAGUGGAAAGCUAAAUUAUUAAAACUUUCAACAACGGAUCUCUUGGUUCCG
This 257-nucleotide unclassified non-coding RNA is filed under the name Talaromyces sp. Its description in RNAcentral is "partial internal transcribed spacer region". The stretch from base 1 to 46 matches the Rfam family "Eukaryotic small subunit ribosomal RNA", at positions 1786 to 1831 of the family's 1831-position model. The record is from RNAcentral. Lineage: Eukaryota; Fungi; Ascomycota; Eurotiomycetes; Eurotiales; Trichocomaceae.